This 254-nucleotide ribosomal RNA is filed under the name uncultured bacterium. RNAcentral's name for it is "partial 16S ribosomal RNA". It matches the Rfam family "Bacterial small subunit ribosomal RNA", at positions 524 to 776 of the family's 1533-position model. The record is from RNAcentral.
GACAGAGGGUGCAAACGUUGUUCGGAAUUACUGGGCGUAAAGCGCGUGUAGGCGGCCCUGCAAGUCGGAUGUGAAAUCCCACGGCUCAACCGUGGAAGUGCAUUCGAAACUGCAGGGCUAGAGUCCUGGAGAGGAAGGUGGAAUGCUUGGUGUAGAGGUGAAAUUCGUAGAUAUCAAGCGGAACACCGGUGGCGAAGGCGGAUCUCUGGGCCUGUUCUUGACGCUGAGGCGCGAAAGCUAGGGGAGCAAACGGG